UAUGAACUUUCUCGGUAGCUGUGUUUGAACCUCGCUUGCAUCGUUCAAUAUGCUUGUGUUACAAUGUUUGGCUGCUGCGGGGAUGUAAUUGAUUGCGAAUAUCAACCAUGUUGCUGCUCUACUGACUACUGUUGUCAGAAUAGCCAGCUACAAACUACAGUAGCUAGCUAAGUAGAAUUAGUCUCGGGAGUAGACUAUUGUAUUUGUUUGUUCCCAGUGCCAGCUUUCAGGCAGAAUCUGUGUACGCUCCAUCACGGAGAAUCAUCCGUCGUUCAUACAAGGAAGAAUUAGCCUAUGCUAGGCUAGCGAUACAGGCCUAUACGUCGAUAUACAGUGAGUAGCAAUAUUGUCCUUGAUGACAUGAGCAAGGAGAUGGUGCUUAUCACGGUUAUUCUAGGCGGCCGUUAAAUUGUUCGUGCAGCAAUCUAUCGAUAGUCUCUAUCACUGCGUGUCGCGCAGCUCACUAGACCGCUGCAAGGCACACUAUCAGCAAUACAUUUUACGGCGUCAUCUGUUACAUUAGUUAUGCUGCGUUUAGAUGGUACGAGGCAGACGGUAAACCGAAUGUUAUUGUUUUCAACGAGCAAGACCGUAAAUGCCGUUGAGCCUGGCGGUGAAUGCCGGCUGACGACAUGGUUUACAAUUAGGGGUUCAACUGGAGUUCUUCUAAGAUCCUCUGAGAACCGUAGGGUUCUUGGCAAUGAAAGACAGCCCCAAAAGGUUAUUCAAAUAACUUCUUAGGAGGUGGGGUUCAUCGAGGAGCCGCCAUUGUUGUUGGAGUUCUUCCGGGAACUUUGCAACUGAAAACGCUCGUGUCAAGUCUGAAUGAGACAACAUUUAAAUAGAACAGAACAUGGACACAAUGCAAUUGGGAUUAAGAAGAAGAAAUUCUGAAGUAUCUGGAUGGUCAGUGGAGGAUGUCUGCCAGUGGCUUCAGCAAAAUCAGUUGGAGGACUACACCUCUCCUUUCCAAGGUUUACAGAGGAGGCGGCAUACAAAGGCCUCUACAUUAUGGAC
Long non-coding RNA from Coregonus clupeaformis (lake whitefish), 1017 nucleotides. RefSeq lists it as uncharacterized. Lineage: Eukaryota; Metazoa; Chordata; Actinopteri; Salmoniformes; Salmonidae. The record is from RefSeq and is a predicted model, not a curated record. The transcript has 5 exons.